UGGAGAGGAAUAUUGGCACAAUGGGGGAAACCCUGAUGCAGCAACGCCGCGUGAAGGAAGAAGGUUGCGGAUCGUAAACUUCUAUCAGCAAGGAAGAAAUGAGGGUACUUGACUAAGAAGCCCCGGCUAACUACGUGCCAGCAGCCGCGGUAAUACGUAUUCUGCAAGCGUUAUCCGGAAUUACUGGGUGUAAAGGGUGCGUAGACGGCACUGACAGUCAGAUGUGAAAGCCCAAGGCUCAACCUUGGGAUUGCAUUUGAAACUACAGAGCUAGAGUACAGGAGAGGAAAGUGGAAUUCCUAGUGUAGCGGUCGGAAUGCGUACAUAUUUGGGAGGAACACCAGUGGGCGAAGGGCGACUUUUCUGGGACUGUAACUGACGUUUGAGGCACGAAAAGCUUGGGGAGCAAACAGGGAUUAGAUUACCCUGGUAGUCCCAUGCCGGUAAAACGAUGAAUACUAGGGGGUUUGG
RNAcentral lists this ribosomal RNA (471 nucleotides) under uncultured Hespellia sp. RNAcentral's name for it is "bacterial SSU rRNA". It matches the Rfam family "Bacterial small subunit ribosomal RNA", at positions 352 to 828 of the family's 1533-position model. Lineage: Bacteria; Bacillati; Bacillota; Clostridia; Lachnospirales; Lachnospiraceae. The record is from RNAcentral.